UUUUAAUUAAAAAUUAUUUGUUGAUAGAAACCUACAAGAAAGCGGAACUUCUUCUGGAGGAAAUCAAGAAACAUGGGAAUGAGUAUGCCUUUUCAACAGAUACAGAAGCAGAUUUUGCUGACAAGGCAGUUAGACUUAGCAAAGAAAUCUUGAAGUUAGAUUUAAAGAAGAUGGAACAACAGAUUAAAGAAAAGAUGGAUCCGUCAUCAGCAAUGUCAUCAAAGUCUGUCAACUCACAAGAUGCAUUCGAACGGGGUCUGGGAAUGAUGGAUUGGCCCUCUCUCGAGUUGACAGAGGAGAAUUUGUAUUCUCCAAUAAUCCUUGAGCAGGACAUCACCGAACAGACUAGUGGGCAGCCACAGGGGGCUGAAGUUCCUGAUAAUACCCCGAAGGAACCAUCUCAGAAGAAAAGGAAGCUAGAGAAGCAAUUUUGCUGUAAUCAUCCUG
This is a long non-coding RNA of Diachasma alloeum, 447 nucleotides long. RefSeq lists it as uncharacterized. Lineage: Eukaryota; Metazoa; Arthropoda; Insecta; Hymenoptera; Braconidae. The record is from RefSeq and is a predicted model, not a curated record. The transcript is spliced from 2 exons.